RNAcentral lists this transfer-messenger RNA (77 nucleotides) under Muribaculaceae bacterium. RNAcentral's name for it is "partial transfer-messenger RNA". It matches the Rfam family "transfer-messenger RNA", at positions 297 to 374 of the family's 374-position model. Rfam says of the family: Bacterial tmRNA, also known as 10Sa RNA or SsrA, is named for its dual tRNA and mRNA-like properties. Its role is to liberate the mRNA from a stalled ribosome. To accomplish this part of the tmRNA is used as a reading frame that ends in a translation stop signal. Lineage: Bacteria; Pseudomonadati; Bacteroidota; Bacteroidia; Bacteroidales; Muribaculaceae. The record is from RNAcentral.
CAAGUCGAUGACUAAGCAUGUAGAAAACUUAUUGAUUCCGCGUUUGGACGAGGGUUCAAACCCCUCCACCUCCACAA